CCUACGGGAGGCAGCAGUGAGGAAUAUUGGUCAAUGGACGAGAGUCUGAACCAGCCAAGUAGCGUGAAGGAUGACUGCCCUAUGGGUUGUAAACUUCUUUUAUAAAGGAAUAAAACGAGGCACGUGUGCCUUUUUGCAUGUACUUUAUGAAUAAGGAUCGGCUAACUCCGUGCCAGCAGCCGCGGUAAUACGGAGGAUCCGAGCGUUAUACGGAUUUCUUGGGUUUAAAGGGAGCGUAGAUGGGUUGUUAAGUCAGUUGUGAAAGUUUGCGGCUCAACCGUAAAAUUGCAAUUGAGACUGGCAGUCUUGAGUACAGUUGAGGUAGGCGGAAUUCGUGGUGUAGCGGUGAAAUGCUUAGAUAUCACGAAGAACCCCGAUUGCGAAGGCAGCUUACUAAACUGUGACUGACAUUGAUGCUCGAAAGUGUGGGUAUCAAACAGGAUUAGAUACCCCAGUAGUC
RNAcentral lists this ribosomal RNA (460 nucleotides) under uncultured bacterium. RNAcentral describes it as "partial 16S ribosomal RNA". It matches the Rfam family "Bacterial small subunit ribosomal RNA", at positions 338 to 795 of the family's 1533-position model. The record is from RNAcentral.